Bombina bombina (fire-bellied toad) is the source of this 381-nucleotide long non-coding RNA. RefSeq lists it as uncharacterized. The record is from RefSeq and is a predicted model, not a curated record. The transcript has 2 exons. Lineage: Eukaryota; Metazoa; Chordata; Amphibia; Anura; Bombinatoridae.
UGAAAUUAAGUAGCCAUAUUGAUAGAAGAUUAAGGGAGAGAAGAUCCGAACGACAAUAUUCAGACCAGCCAAACAAAAAGUUUUCCAGUCCUAACCAACCUACUCUUAGGUCUACUAGUCCCACCGGAGCUGAAGCUAUGGAUAUCAGCAUCUUCAGGGGACCUCUAUCACCGGAUGAACGUAUGAGAAGAAAGACCCGGGGCCUUUGCAUGUAUUGUGGUGAUCCAGCUCACAGUCUUAAGGACUGCCCUAUCAUACCCCAGAAAAAGAACAUGGGCAAGUAAACAGAUCUCCGUCCCUGCUAUCCUUGACACCGGAGCUCAAGGCAACUACAUCGACAGCUCAUUAGUGUCUAUCAAUAAAAUACCCCUGAUUAAGAAA